UGGUUCCAAAUCCAGUGCUUUGACAUAUGAGUGAUGUUUGAAGAAACUGAAGAUAUUUAACCAGGAGAAAAGAAGACUUGGGGAGAUUGCUAUAAUACUUUAGGAACAGAAUAUUGCAACCCAUCUUUGUGGGUGAAAACUUGAAGCCACUGGAGUGCCUGCAGCUAAUGAAUGCCUAUGAGGUGCUUUUAAAUCCUGGGAUGAAAGGGAAGGCCUCCAACAGCAAAUGCCAAAGACGCUAAGACAACUGGAGGAUCUUGCUAACUCACCCCUCUGGAAGCUCAGUGAACCCCAGAAGACUGCUGAGUCGUGAUCGAUAACAGGCACAGGAUGCAUAGACCUUCAAAAGUUGAGUCCUUUAUUGUUGGAAGACUAGUCUGGGCAAAACUCUAU
RNAcentral lists this long non-coding RNA (393 nucleotides) under Monodelphis domestica (gray short-tailed opossum). RNAcentral's name for it is "lncRNA (ENSMODG00000041554.1)". The record is from RNAcentral. Lineage: Eukaryota; Metazoa; Chordata; Mammalia; Didelphimorphia; Didelphidae.